Small nuclear RNA from Ursus americanus (American black bear), 127 nucleotides. Lineage: Eukaryota; Metazoa; Chordata; Mammalia; Carnivora; Ursidae. The record is from Ensembl.
CUGUUGUAUGAAAGGAGAAAAGGUUAGCACCUCCCUUGCCAAGGAUAGAAGAGGUCCUUGGUCUGCAUGCCACAUGUACGGGUAAGACAAUUGCAUCAACUUUAUGGCUUCUCACCGUGGCUGUUGU